CAUGCAGUCGAGCGGAUGACGGGAGCUUGCUCCUUGAUUCAGCGGCGGACGGGUGAGUAAUGCCUAGGAAUCUGCCUGGUAGUGGGGGACAACGUUUCGAAAGGAACGCUAAUACCGCAUACGUCCUACGGGAGAAAGCAGGGGACCUUCGGGCCUUGCGCUAUCAGAUGAGCCUAGGUCGGAUUAGCUAGUUGGUGGGGUAAUGGCUCACCAAGGCGACGAUCCGUAACUGGUCUGAGAGGAUGAUCAGUCACACUGGAACUGAGACACGGUCCAGACUCCUACGGGAGGCAGCAGUGGGGAAUAUUGGACAAUGGGCGAAAGCCUGAUCCAGCCAUGCCGCGUGUGUGAAGAAGGUCUUCGGAUUGUAAAGCACUUUAAGUUGGGAGGAAGGGCAGUAAGUUAAUACCUUGCUGUUUUGACGUUACCGACAGAAUAAGCACCGGCUAACUCUGUGCCAGCAGCCGCGGUAAUACAGAGGGUGCAAGCGUUAAUCGGAAUUACUGGGCGUAAAGCGCGCGUAGGUGGUUUGUUAAGUUGGAUGUGAAAGCCCCGGGCUCAACCUGGGAACUGCAUCCAAAACUGGCAAGCUAGAGUACGGUAGAGGGUGGUGGAAUUUCCUGUGUAGCGGUGAAAUGCGUAAUAUAGGAAGGAACACCA
RNAcentral lists this ribosomal RNA (660 nucleotides) under Pseudomonas sp. SC-D5-9. RNAcentral describes it as "bacterial SSU rRNA". It matches the Rfam family "Bacterial small subunit ribosomal RNA", at positions 54 to 711 of the family's 1533-position model. The record is from RNAcentral. Lineage: Bacteria; Pseudomonadati; Pseudomonadota; Gammaproteobacteria; Pseudomonadales; Pseudomonadaceae.